CAGCUUGAGAAAGAACCCGCUCGACCCGAGGCUCCCGAGUCAGAAGAGCGGCCCCCCUUUCUCCGAGGGGGUUGCGGGUUCCGACGAUCCUGCCGGUCUCGGCGGGAGCCGGAGCCCCUUGAGAUACUGCGGCGGUUGGGCUGCUCGGUUUCGCGGCUUUGCCGCGGUCGAGCUGGUGUCGCUCCCUUGCGCGUCCUGGAGCCGGACUGUGUAGCUGGGCGCCCUGCGGGUUCCAGGCCCAGCGGGCCAGAGUCGCAGUCGCGGUCAUGGUUAUAUGGACGCUGCAGUUUUUGUUUCUGAAUCCCAGAACUGGAGCCUGACUCCCUAGAGAGACUGAGGGUGCCGAGAGCAGCUGUAUUUUGCUAAAAGGUCAAUGCAGAGUGGAUCAAACCAGAAAUAAGCCUCUCCGGCCAGAGCAAGACUUCACCGAAAGCAGUAACAUACCUAAAGCAGGAAUGCCUCAAUCAGGAAUUGAGCCAAAAAAAAAAAAGCCUGGAAAGUAAAUAAUUUGGCAAGAUCCCUGUCUAAAGGGAAAGUCUCCUCAGCAGGUACAAAACCUAUCUUGUUCUGGUAGUGGAGGCAGUUUGAUCUAUCAAAGUUUGAUGUGAUUCCAUUAAGUCAUACAACUAAACCUAUUAUUCUUUUACUUUUCUUAAUAAAUACAGUUCUGAAUGUUAUUUUAAGCCCCACAUAGUUUUUCUACAAUGAGAGAAAUCUCAGCCAAAUGAAAUGAAUAGCCAUUUCCUAUGACAAUUACUUUUUUCACUGUAAAUUAAUACACUGGUCUUUUUAUACACAAGCUUCUAAUGAAUAUGAUUCAGCAUCUCUGGUCCUGCAAUGUGAAGGGCAGACCCUGAACUACAUUCACAAAAGAAAACUGUUGCUCUGAGUCCUUUUGGCCAGCAUGUUUUCUAAAUCCCCAAUUUUGCAACACCUCCUGCCUCUUUGGUACACAAAGGAAUUUCUGCAUGUAGUCAAGGAUUAAAACCUGGUGAAGAUUUGGGGACUUUGGUAACUUAUUUCUAAUUGUUAGUAAAACCCUUAAAGAAGAUUCCAAACUUUAUUUGAGUAAAGCAAAGAGGGCAAAACAAGGGCAUUCCACCUUUGGGAAAAGAACUUCAGGGAUGGGGGCUUUUCUUUCUGUUUUGCCCCUGAAGAAAAAGAAAGCACCUGAAGCUGACCUGGUUCUGAAGAAGAAGAAUAAGUCUUAAAAUGAUUUCCCAACGGUUAACAAGAACAGUAUUAAAAAAAGGAAACACCUAAGAAGAAAAUCUUGGGGAUAUCUAUAAGAGGUUAGAGGGAAAGAAUCUGGUCAAGGAAGAAGAAAGCUUUAAGAAAUCAUUAAUAAAUAAGGCUCAAUGAUGCAGAAUCAUGA
Molecule: long non-coding RNA, 1375 nt
Organism: Hyaena hyaena (striped hyena)
Lineage: Eukaryota; Metazoa; Chordata; Mammalia; Carnivora; Hyaenidae
Exons: 2
Source: RefSeq, a predicted model, not a curated record